RNAcentral lists this unclassified non-coding RNA (2104 nucleotides) under Hevea brasiliensis (rubber tree). The stretch from base 380 to 456 matches the Rfam family "tRNA". Lineage: Eukaryota; Viridiplantae; Streptophyta; Magnoliopsida; Malpighiales; Euphorbiaceae. The record is from RNAcentral.
UAUAUAUAGAGUUAAAACGUUUUUUUGUGAUAAAGAAAAUAAAAUAAUUUUUUAUGUUUUUAAGUUGUAAGCCUAUUUUUCUUUUGAAUUAGAAGUUAUUUUUAAUUGACAAGUAAAUGAGUUUUUAUAUUUUUUAUGAAAAUAAAAAUUACUUAAAGAAAAAAAAAUGGAAAUUCUUUUAGAAAAUGAUAAAUUAAAAAAAAUAAAUUUUACAAAAACAUAUCUAGUGCGCUCUGAUGAAAUUUUAUGUUUUAUUGAAUUUUAAUAAUUUUUUAAAAUAUUAACUCGGGACGGUGCAAUCCUGUGGAACUUUGCUGAGGGCUGGAAAUUUGUGGCUCAAAAGUGAAAGGUAUGAUUGUAGGAUCUUAUGAUCGAUGUAGAUCCAUUAGCUCAAAGCGGUAAGAGCGCCCAGGUCUAUCGUCUUGGGGGGAUGGUGGUUCGAAUCCACCUGGAUCUUUUCUUAAUAACUCUCUUGCUUGGUUGUCAAUGUGCUAUCAAAUUUUGUUAUGUAAAAUAUUAUUCCAUUCCAAAACCAUAUUCUUCAUGUCAUUGUCUGAUGAGUUUCCUGAUGGUAGGACUUUUUCAUUGAUUUUCAGGACCUGCUUCUCUUUUUGUUCGGACAUGCCCACUUGCUUUGGUGGGAGCUAGUGCUGUGAGUCCCAUCCCAUUGGCUAUUGCAUUUUACUCUUUAUUUUCCAUUUUGUCAGGUUGCCUUGCCUUUUCCUUUGGCAUCUUUUACGGACCACAGCUCAGCCACCACCCAAUACUUAAUCUUCACCGGGUGCCUAACUUUCGAAAUUUACGCUAAAGCUUCUCUUUUUUUUUAUUUAUUAUUAUUAUUGUUAUUAUAACUAGGUUGUUUGGAAUUAGGAUUUGUCGUUAUAUUUUUUUAAUCAAAAAUAGCAUUUCAUUGAUUAAAGCAUGGCUACAUUGUUCAAAGCUCAUCUACAAUAGAUAUUCUAACUAAAUAACAGCCCAACAAAAUAAAUGAGCCAAGGCCCUUAGAAAACAGUAAAACCUAGAACAAACAGGUGCUUGACCCUACACCAACGAUCUGGCAAAGAUAAGCAAAACACAAGCACCACCGCCAGCACUAGCCACUAGGAGACUUACUCUAUCCAAAGGGACUGUACACGCUAUAAAAACAGUGCUUAGGGUAUCUAGAAAAUAAGCAAAACCAGCUCGACCCCUUCACACAACAAAACCACCGAACAUAGGCGAGCCAGGAUUAAUCUAUUGUUGAGGAAGAAACAAGUAACCAUGGAUAUGUUGGAUGACCGGGAACAGCAUGGCAAAGCUCCGGCGUCUCAUUCUUGUCUAGCCCCGGGAUUACUGACCAUCAUUUCAUUUGGAACCAUCGCCUUCCUUGCGUUGCCAGCUAACUGGGAGACCCCUGAACAACCACCUUAUAACUUCAAUUAUUUAACUAGUGAUGAGGAUACUAGAAACAGAGAAAAACUAUAUGACAAAGGAAGGAAGAAAACCUCCCUCAUUUAAACUCCCUCACUAAAGAAAAACUAUAAGAGUUGUCAUUUGAACAACACAUUGAGACGCACUUAAUUUUUGCUAUCACAAGGUCAUUUUUAUCUAAUUUUAAACGGAUCCAUCAUAAGAGCAUCGACAAAAAUCAAACAACACUUAUAAAUCAAUUAUUGAAAGCAAGAAAUCCCUUUCUGUUUUAUUCAGAGUCCCUAACACUCUCUCACCUUAUCAAUAUUUUUAUAAUUAUAUAGUCUUUGAAGUUUACAAUUACCUACCAAUUAGUGCUUACAUUAUGCUCAUUUUCAAGUAUUUAAUCUCUUGAGCUUUUGACAUUUUUCUAAUAGUAAUGACUUAUUUGAUAUACAUAUCAACGUCAAUAUCAACAACUAAACCGAUCUUACAAUAGACCAAUUGAAUAAAAAUAUUUCAAAAUGACCAAUAAAAUGUAUUCACUUUUUUAUAUAGCUGUGUAUAUUGGUUUACUAAAAACAAGAACCCAUAAUCGAAAACCCACCAAAAAGCCACUUAUUAACCCACUUUAAAAACAACAUUAUCUUUAUGAUAUAUUAAUGAGUAUAUUGUAUUUUAGAUGCCUGAAAUUUCCUCUUAUGUAACAUAAUCG